RNAcentral lists this ribosomal RNA (1058 nucleotides) under Aspergillus niger. RNAcentral describes it as "SSU rRNA". It matches the Rfam family "Eukaryotic small subunit ribosomal RNA", at positions 53 to 1120 of the family's 1831-position model. The record is from RNAcentral. Lineage: Eukaryota; Fungi; Ascomycota; Eurotiomycetes; Eurotiales; Aspergillaceae.
GCAUGUCUAAGUAUAAGCACUUUAUACUGUGAAACUGCGAAUGGCUCAUUAAAUCAGUUAUCGUUUAUUUGAUAGUACCUUACUACAUGGAUACCUGUGGUAAUUCUAGAGCUAAUACAUGCUGAAAACCUCGACUUCGGAAGGGGUGUAUUUAUUAGAUAAAAAACCAAUGCCCUUCGGGGCUCCUUGGUGAAUCAUAAUAACUUAACGAAUCGCAUGGCCUUGCGCCGGCGAUGGUUCAUUCAAAUUUCUGCCCUAUCAACUUUCGAUGGUAGGAUAGUGGCCUACCAUGGUGGCAACGGGUAACGGGGAAUUAGGGUUCGAUUCCGGAGAGGGAGCCUGAGAAACGGCUACCACAUCCAAGGAAGGCAGCAGGCGCGCAAAUUACCCAAUCCCGACACGGGGAGGUAGUGACAAUAAAUACUGAUACGGGGCUCUUUUGGGUCUCGUAAUUGGAAUGAGUACAAUCUAAAUCCCUUAACGAGGAACAAUUGGAGGGCAAGUCUGGUGCCAGCAGCCGCGGUAAUUCCAGCUCCAAUAGCGUAUAUUAAAGUUGUUGCAGUUAAAAAGCUCGUAGUUGAACCUUGGGUCUGGCUGGCCGGUCCGCCUCACCGCGAGUACUGGUCCGGCUGGACCUUUCCUUCUGGGGAAUCUCAUGGCCUUCACUGGCUGUGGGGGGAACCAGGACUUUUACUGUGAAAAAAUUAGAGUGUUCAAAGCAGGCCUUUGCUCGAAUACAUUAGCAUGGAAUAAUAGAAUAGGACGUGCGGUUCUAUUUUGUUGGUUUCUAGGACCGCCGUAAUGAUUAAUAGGGAUAGUCGGGGGCGUCAGUAUUCAGCUGUCAGAGGUGAAAUUCUUGGAUUUGCUGAAGACUAACUACUGCGAAAGCAUUCGCCAAGGAUGUUUUCAUUAAUCAGGGAACGAAAGUUAGGGGAUCGAAGACGAUCAGAUACCGUCGUAGUCUUAACCAUAAACUAUGCCGACUAGGGAUCGGACGGUGUUUCUAUUAUGACCCGUUCGGCACCUUACGAGAAAUCAANNUUUUUNGGUNCUGGGGG